This 550-nucleotide ribosomal RNA is filed under the name uncultured bacterium. RNAcentral describes it as "bacterial SSU rRNA". It matches the Rfam family "Bacterial small subunit ribosomal RNA", at positions 355 to 896 of the family's 1533-position model. The record is from RNAcentral.
UAGGGAAUCUUCCGCAAUGGACGCAAGUCUGACGGAGCAACGCCGCGUGAGUGAAGAGGGUUUUCGGAUCGUAAAACUCUGUUGUUAGAGAAGAACAAGUGCUAGAGUAACUGUUAGCGCCUUGACGGUAUCUAACCAGAAAGUCACGGCUAACUACGUGCCAGCAGCCGCGGUAAUACGUAGGUGGCAAGCGUUGUCCGGAUUUAUUGGGCGUAAAGCGAGCGCAGGCGGUUCCUUAAGUCUGAUGUGAAAGCCCCCGGCUCAACCGGGGAGGGUCAUUGGAAACUGGGGAACUUGAGUGCAGAAGAGGAGAGUGGAAUUCCAUGUGUAGCGGUGAAAUGCGUAGAUAUAUGGAGGAACACCAGUGGCGAAGGCGACUCUCUGGUCUGUAACUGACGCUGAGGCUCGAAAGCGUGGGUAGCAAACAGGAUUAGAUACCCUGGUAGUCCACGCCGUAAACGAUGAGUGCUAAGUGUUGGAGGGUUUCCGCCCUUCAGUGCUGCAGUUAACGCAUUAAGCACUCCGCCUGGGGAGUACGACCGCAAGGUUG